GUGAAUCAUCGAAUCUUUGAACGCACAUUGCGCCCACCAGUACUCUGGUGGGCAUGCCUGUCCGAGCGUCAUUUCAACCCUCAGGCCCGGCCUGGUGUUGGGGAUUGGCUUCGCGGCCAGCCCCGAAAUGCAGUGGCGGCCCUCCGCAACUCCUCUGUGUAGUAGUGAUACCCGCAUUGGAUAGUGGUUGCGCCUCGCCGUAAAACCUCCAACUUCUCAAGGUUGACCUCGGAUCAGGUAGGAAUACCCGCUGAACUUAAGCAUAUCAAUAAGCGGAGGA
Molecule: unclassified non-coding RNA, 280 nt
Filed under: Ascomycota sp.
Lineage: Eukaryota; Fungi; Ascomycota
Description: partial contains 5.8S ribosomal RNA, internal transcribed spacer 2, and large subunit ribosomal RNA
Rfam family: 5.8S ribosomal RNA (bases 1-71)
Source: RNAcentral